GAUCCUGGCUCAGGACGAACGCUGGCGGCGUGCUUAACACAUGCAAGUCGAACGAAAAGCGAUGGAAGCUUGCUUCUAUCAAUCUUAGUGGCGAACGGGUGAGUAACGCGUAAUCAAUCUGCCCUUCAGAGGGGGACAACAGUUGGAAACGACUGCUAAUACCGCAUACGAUCUAACCUCGGCAUCGAGGAUGGAUGAAAGGUGGCCUCUAUUUAUAAGCUAUCACUGAAGGAGGGG
Molecule: ribosomal RNA, 237 nt
Filed under: uncultured bacterium
Lineage: Bacteria
Description: partial 16S ribosomal RNA
Rfam family: Bacterial small subunit ribosomal RNA
Source: RNAcentral